GGGGUUGUGACUCAGCGGUAGAGCCCUUGCCUAGCAUGCACGAGGCCCUGGGUUUGAUCCUCAGCACCACA
This 71-nucleotide transfer RNA is filed under the name Marmota monax (woodchuck). Its description in RNAcentral is "tRNA.Ala". The record is from RNAcentral. Lineage: Eukaryota; Metazoa; Chordata; Mammalia; Rodentia; Sciuridae.